This 355-nucleotide ribosomal RNA is filed under the name Cunninghamella sp. CL023. RNAcentral describes it as "LSU rRNA". It matches the Rfam family "Eukaryotic large subunit ribosomal RNA", at positions 357 to 647 of the family's 3401-position model. Lineage: Eukaryota; Fungi; Mucoromycota; Mucoromycetes; Mucorales; Cunninghamellaceae. The record is from RNAcentral.
GGGAAAGAUGAAAAGAACUUUGAAAAGAGAGUUAAACAGUAUGUGAAAUUGUUAAAAGGGAACCGUUUGGAGCCAGACUGGCUUGUCUGUAAUCAGUCUAAGUUUCGGCUUGGAUGCACUUGCAGGCUAUGCCUGCCAACGACAAUUUGGCUUGAGGGAAAAAACUAGGGGAAAUGUGGCCCAUUCGUGGGUGUUAUAGUCCCUUAGAAAAUACCUUGGGCUGGAUUGAGGUACGCAGCGAAUGCUAUUUGGCGAGUUGGCUGGGAAUAUUUUCUGAGGUGCUCCGGUACUGAGGUUGAUAUUUCCAGUUACACUUCUAUUCGCUUNAGGUUGUUGGCUUAAUGACUCUAAAUGA